Molecule: long non-coding RNA, 289 nt
Filed under: Lathyrus oleraceus (garden pea)
Lineage: Eukaryota; Viridiplantae; Streptophyta; Magnoliopsida; Fabales; Fabaceae
Description: Pisum sativum (pea) long non-coding RNA (PSAT_LNC006015)
Source: RNAcentral
UUUCUCCACCUGUUUUGGGUAGUCCAACAAUGUUUUCGUCUAUUUGACACAAAGUAGCUUUCGCUAAAAUCGACCAACAAACAAACAUUUUUUUAUCCAGAACUACGUAAGCCUUGAUUUCUCUAUUGAGAUACGUAGGAGCAGGAUUUGUAAAUCUUGUCAGGCCCACUAAUAAAAAACUUAGGUUUAGUCCUUAGUCGAAAAUAAAAAAAAAACAUUCUCCUCUCUUCUAUUCUUUCUUUCGCACCUAAUAACUUGAAAAGCCUAACAUUUCAAACUAACACUAAUG